CGGGAAACCGGAGCUAAUACCGGAUAAUAUAUUGAACCGCAUGGUUCAAUAGUGAAAGACGGUUUUGCUGUCACUUAUAGAUGGAUCCGCGCCGCAUUAGCUAGUUGGUAAGGUAACGGCUUACCAAGGCAACGAUGCGUAGCCGACCCGAGAGGGUGAUCGGCCACACUGGAACUGAGACACGGUCCAG
This 190-nucleotide ribosomal RNA is filed under the name uncultured Staphylococcus sp. RNAcentral describes it as "partial 16S ribosomal RNA". It matches the Rfam family "Bacterial small subunit ribosomal RNA", at positions 150 to 334 of the family's 1533-position model. Lineage: Bacteria; Bacillati; Bacillota; Bacilli; Caryophanales; Staphylococcaceae. The record is from RNAcentral.